GAUGAACGCUGGCGGCGUGCCUAACACAUGCAAGUCGAGCGAACUUCUUCGGAAGUGAGCGGCGGACGGGUGAGUAACGCGUGGGUAACCUGCCCUAUACACACGGAUAACGUACCGAAAGGUACGCUAAUACGAGAUGAUAUAUUUUUAUCGCAUGGUAGAAAUAUCAAAGCUCCGGCGGUAUAGGAUGGACCCGCGUCUGAUUAGCUAGUUGGUAAGGUAACGGCUUACCAAGGCGACGAUCAGUAGCCGACCUGAGAGGGUGAUCGGCUACAUUGGAACUGAGACACGGUCCAAACACCUACGGGUGGCAG
This 314-nucleotide ribosomal RNA is filed under the name uncultured Bacillota bacterium. RNAcentral describes it as "bacterial SSU rRNA". It matches the Rfam family "Bacterial small subunit ribosomal RNA", at positions 28 to 351 of the family's 1533-position model. The record is from RNAcentral. Lineage: Bacteria; Bacillati; Bacillota.